Molecule: long non-coding RNA, 1138 nt
Filed under: Marmota monax (woodchuck)
Lineage: Eukaryota; Metazoa; Chordata; Mammalia; Rodentia; Sciuridae
Source: RNAcentral
UUCUGACCUCUGCAUUUUAACCACAGUAGUAUUAACUUGAACCAAUUCCUCAGGAUCACUAACAGACUUUAUAAGCUCUUAGUUCUCUCUAUUUAAUUCUCUUUUAUAUUAAAAAGUAGAGUGGUUUCAGUUUCCUAAAUCAAAAUGUGACUUAUACACUGAGUCACACCAAGGUUCUAAAUUUAACUCAGAUCUUCACUAAUUAGACUUUAUCUGGUAGCAUAUUUGUUAACUAAAUUUCCACCUAUUUACCCCGAUUCUCAGUUCUCAUUUCAGGUACUCUCACCAGAGGAGGUGCUUACUUUUAUUUGCUAAAUGAAUAAAUGUUAUCAGGUCAUCUUCUGGGUUACCUGAUUUUAUAAAAUAAUAACUUAUCCCUAUGAGUUAAACUUUCAAGUUAAUCUAAUACUAUACUCAUCAAAUUACUCAUAUGUUUCUAAUCAAUUUGGAAUUAUUUUGAACUUUACAUAAUCAAGCACAUGAUAGCUUAUAGCUUAAAUGAGAAAUUAAAACGCCAACAUAACCAAAGGUGUAGUCAAAACUUUAUUCAUUGACUACCUAAUUGUGAAAGUAAGUUAUUUCUCAAGAAUAUUUAGCUAAAUCAAAUGACCUUUAUUAAACUAAUUUUUCAUCAAAAUCUAAAUGUACUCAAUUAUAAAUUAAGUAAUAACUUCACAUAUCUAUAAUCAAGUAGAUUACUCAUUGAUAAUUAUUUGGUUAUCAUUCUGUUCUUGACAUACAAACUUUUAGCUUGUGUUGAGUUUGUUAUUUCUUCUUUAAAUAUGUUUGGACCCCCAUUGUUGAUAGCAUAAUAACCCGACUUAUACUAUAAUUUAGAGGUUCAGAUUGCAGAAAAAUAAACUUUAGUAAAACUGACACUAAGUGAAACAUCUAUUGGACCUGUGGCUGGCUUGUAACUUUCUCAGUUUUAAUGUACAGGGCUUAUACAAAGGGGGGAAGUUGAUGAAUUUGAUACUAACAGUUGGCUACCAUCAGAUUGAGUUGCUUAAUAACAUUUGCUCAGAACUAGUUUCCUUCCUAGAUUGUGAGGCUGAGCAGAAAAAUAUUCCUACCACCACUAAAACCUCAUGCAGAAUCUCAUCUGUUGAAGUGCAACACUCCAAAAAGGAAACUACAU